UCUACCACUGGUUGCCAACCGUUUCUCAUUCCUUCAUUUUUGCUCACUUCGUCAUCUUCCACUGGCAGCAGACAACCCCUUUCUCUAAACCCUCUCUCCAUUGCUCAGUCCCUGGCGCCGUCGCCUUGUUGGCCUAAGCAUUUCCUGCAGCGGCUCCGUCUUUCUUUCCCUUUUCUAGUUUCUUCUCUUCCCCUUCCUUCUGCCGCCAGUUUCCUCUCUAUCUAAAAAAGCCGAGCCACCGUUCUCCUCCUCCAAUUUGAGUUUUCUUUUAGAAGUCCUGUCACAAAUUUAAAACCCCAUUUAAAACCUCUUUCUUGAAAGCUGGGCGUGGGCACCCUUCAAGAGCACUCUUCAUUACCUCUAUGGGGUAUCUAUGUGUAGGAUAGUUUCCGUAACUACUCGUCAACCCGAAUACCUGAAAGCUCAGGAAAGAUUGGGUAAGCAGCUGAAAUGAGUCAACCACUCCCUGCACAGGAACAGAGACCUCCAUCAUCUCUUCUCAAGUAUCUUUAUGCCGCUCACUUUCUUGCGAGAUGGGGUGCCAGGAUGUGGGAAUUCUCUGUCGGUUUAUACAUGAUCAGUGUUUGGCCAGACUCUUUACUCCUUGCUGCUAUUUACGGUGCUGUGGAAUCUGCUUCUACAGCAUUAUUUGGUCCCAUCAUUGGACGAUGGGUGGAUAGGCUCACAUAUGUAAAGGUUCUUAAACUUUGGUUAGUAACCCAGAAUCUGUCCUUCAUAAUUGCUGGAUGUGCAGUAAUGGCCUUACUGGUAUUUUCAAGCCUGAAGGUCACAAAUCUUGUAGCAUUCAUCUCCCUGGUGAUAUUGACCAACAUCUCUGGAGCUGUUGGUGUGCUUUCAACUCUAGCCGGUACCAUCCUGAUCGAAAGAGAAUGGGUGGUGGUAAUAUCAGAAGGCCAUCCUCCAGCUUUACUGACUGAGAUGAAUUCUGUUAUCAGACGAAUUGAUUUAACCUGCAAGCUAGUUGCACCAGUUAUAACUGGCUUCAUUAUCAGCUUUGUAUCACUAAAAGCAUCUGCUAUGACCUUAGCACUGUGGACGACUAUAACUGUUUGGGUGGAAUAUUGGCUUUUUAUGUCUGUGUAUAGCGGGAUCCCAGCUUUAGGUGAAAGCAGCCUAAGGAGGAUUUCAGAAGUUUCACCAAGUGAUGUUGUGGAAGAAAGCACUUCGGCUUCUCAGGAUGUUGUGGAAGAAAGCACAUCGGCUUCUCGGGAAAUACCUGAUUCACUUUCCAAUGACGGAGAGAAUUCAGCAGCCGCAAGAAAGAACUCUUGGAGUAAAUUUAUCGAGUGGGUCUCUAAGGUUCCUUACAUUGAUGCAUGGAGAGUAUAUCUGCAGCAAGAUGUUGUUCUACCUGGAGUUGCUUUAGCUUUGUUGUAUUUCACUGUCCUAAGCUUUGGGACUUUGAUGACGGCAACCUUGCAAUGGGAAGGCAUACCUGCAUUUGUAAUUGGAAUAGCACGUGGCAUUAGUGCUUCAAUUGGAAUCGCUGCAACAGUUGUGUAUCCCAUGCUACAAUCUCGUAUUUUAACACUCAGAACAGGACUCUGGUCUGUCUGGUCUCAGUGGAUUUGCCUGCUGCUAUGUGUGGCUUCAAUCUGGGUCAAAAACAGCCAUUUAUCAGCAUACAUGCUGAUGGGUGGAGUUGCAACAUCUCGUCUUGGUUUGUGGAUGUUCGACUUAUCCGUCAUCCAACAAAUGCAGGUAGAAGAACACAACUAAUCACAAACUGGAUCUUGUUCCUGAAUCUAAUCGUUGCAUUGUGGGGGGUGUUCAGAGCUCACUUCAGUCUACCUUGGAUUUUAUGGGUUAUGUCAUGGGAAUACUAAUCUCAAAUCCACGGGAUUUCUGGAAGUUGAGUAUGAUGUCCUUCUGUGCGGUGACAUUGGCUGCAUUUCUCUACACUUUCCAUCUAUACCGAAUUCGGAAACACCUUUUCCACUUGGAGAAGCUGUUAUCACUUGUUCAGUGAUUGUAAGAUGAUAUGGCCUGCCUGAUUGUUUCUUUCUUUGAUGUUUGUGAUCUGAAUGUGGAAAUCUAUCUAUAUGGUCGGUGGCGGAGCCUGUUUUUCGCGUUUCAGACCAAGAUUAUUAUUAUGAAACAGUCAUACUA
This is an RNA transcript of Theobroma cacao (cacao), 2130 nucleotides long. It is a transcript of the gene named solute carrier family 40 member 1-like, with no coding region annotated. The record is from RefSeq and is a predicted model, not a curated record. NCBI's taxonomy places the organism in Eukaryota, Viridiplantae, Streptophyta, Magnoliopsida, Malvales, Malvaceae.